AGUCGAACGGCAGCACGGACUUGCUCUGGUGGCGAGUGGCGAACGGGUGAGUAAUAUAUCGGAACGUACCCUGGAGUGGGGGAUAACGUAGCGAAAGUUACGCUAAUACCGCAUACGAUCUAAGGAUGAAAGUGGGGGAUCGCAAGACCUCAUGCUCGUGGAGCGGCCGAUAUCUGAUUAGCUAGUUGGUAGGGUAACAAGCCUACCAAGGCAUCGAUCAGUAGCUGGUCUGAGAGGACGACCAGCCACACUGGAACUGAGACACGGUCCAGACUCCUACGGGGAGGCAGCAGUGGGGAAUUUUGGACAAUGGGCGAAAGCCAGAUCCAGCAAUGCCGCGUGAGUGAAGAAGGCCUUCGGGUUGUAAAGCUCUUUUGUCAGGGAAGAAACGGUGAGAGCUAAUAUCUUUUGCUAAUGACGGUACCUGAAGAAUAAGCACCGGCUAACUACGUGCCAGCAGCCGCGGUAAUACGUAGGGUGCAAGCGUUAAUCGGAAUUACUGGGCGUAAAGCGUGCGCAGGCGGUUUUGUAAGUCUGAUGUGAAAUCCCCGGGCUCAACCUGGGAAUUGCAUUGGAGACUGCAAGGCUAGAAUCUGGCAGAGGGGGGUAGAAUUCCACGUGUAGCAGUGAAAUGCGUAGAUAUGUGGAGGAACCCCGAUGGCGAAGGCAGCCCCCUGGGUCAAGAUUGACGCUCAUGCACGAAAGCGUGGGGAGCAAACAGGAUUAGAUACCCUGGUAGUCCACGCCCUAAGAUCGCAAUCCGUCUUACUAGUUGUACGGGUGUUACUUAGACCCUUGGGAACUGCCAGCUAACGCGACCCUGCGGGGGGCUGGGGAGUACGGUCGCAAGAUUAAA
Molecule: ribosomal RNA, 856 nt
Filed under: uncultured bacterium
Lineage: Bacteria
Description: bacterial SSU rRNA
Rfam family: Bacterial small subunit ribosomal RNA
Source: RNAcentral